RNAcentral lists this ribosomal RNA (226 nucleotides) under uncultured Bacteroides sp. RNAcentral describes it as "partial 16S ribosomal RNA". It matches the Rfam family "Bacterial small subunit ribosomal RNA", at positions 383 to 607 of the family's 1533-position model. The record is from RNAcentral. Lineage: Bacteria; Pseudomonadati; Bacteroidota; Bacteroidia; Bacteroidales; Bacteroidaceae.
CUGAACCAGCCAAGUAGCGUGAAGGAUGAAGGUUCUAUGGAUUGUAAACUUCUUUUAUACGGGAAUAAACGGAUCACGUGUGGAUUUUUGCAUGUACCGUAUGAAUAAGGAUCGGCUAACUCCGUGCCAGCAGCCGCGGUAAUACGGAGGAUCCGAGCGUUAUCCGGAUUUAUUGGGUUUAAAGGGAGCGUAGAUGGGUUGUUAAGUCAGUUGUGAAAGUUUGCGG